CCCUUAGAUGUUCUGGGCCGCACGCGUGCUACACUGAUGCAUUCAACGAGUCUAAAACCUGGUCUGAUAGGGCUGGGCAAUCUUUUAAACCUGCAUCGUGAUAGGGAUAGAUUAUUGCAAUUAUUAAUCUUGAACGAGGAAUUCCUAGUAAACGCAAAUCAUCAAUUUGCAUUGAUUACGUCCCUGCCCUUUGUACACACCGCCCGUCGCACCUACCGAUUGAAUGGUCCGGUGAAGCCUCGGGAUUGUGGCCAGUUCACUUUAUUGGGAGUUGGCUGCGAGAACUUGUCUAAACCUUAUCAUUUAGAGGAAGGUGAAGUCGUAACA
RNAcentral lists this ribosomal RNA (327 nucleotides) under uncultured eukaryote. RNAcentral's name for it is "partial 18S ribosomal RNA". It matches the Rfam family "Eukaryotic small subunit ribosomal RNA", at positions 1470 to 1796 of the family's 1831-position model. The record is from RNAcentral.